RNAcentral lists this ribosomal RNA (253 nucleotides) under uncultured Syntrophorhabdus sp. RNAcentral's name for it is "partial 16S ribosomal RNA". It matches the Rfam family "Bacterial small subunit ribosomal RNA", at positions 524 to 776 of the family's 1533-position model. The record is from RNAcentral. Lineage: Bacteria; Pseudomonadati; Thermodesulfobacteriota; Syntrophorhabdia; Syntrophorhabdales; Syntrophorhabdaceae.
UACGGAGGGUGCAAGCGUUGUUCGGAAUUACUGGGCGUAAAGGGCGCGUAGGUGGUUGUGUAAGUCAGAUGUGAAAUCCCGAGGCUCAACCUCGGAACUGCAUCUGAUACUGCAUGACUCGAGUGCAGCAGAGGGAAACGGAAUUCCUGGUGUAGAGGUGAAAUUCGUAGAUAUCAGGAGGAACACCGGUGGCGAAGGCGGUUUCCUGGGCUGACACUGACACUGAGGCGCGAAAGCGUGGGUAGCAAACAGG